Molecule: ribosomal RNA, 253 nt
Filed under: uncultured bacterium
Lineage: Bacteria
Description: partial 16S ribosomal RNA
Rfam family: Bacterial small subunit ribosomal RNA
Source: RNAcentral
UACGUAGGUGGCAAGCGUUGUUCGGAAUUAUUGGGCGUAAAGGGUGCGUAGGUGGGUAUGUAAGUCAGUGGUGAAAUCUCCGUGCUUAACAUGGAAACUGCCAUUGAUACUAUGUUUCUUGAAUUUUCUGGAGGUCAGCGGAAUAUGUCAUGUAGCGGUGAAAUGCUUAGAUAUGACAUAGAACACCAAUUGCGAAGGCAGCUGACUACAGGGAUAUUGACACUGAGGCACGAAAGCGUGGGGAUCAAACAGG